GACGAACGCUGGCGGCGUGCUUAACACAUGCAAGUCGAACGGAAAGGCCCUGCUUUUGUGGGGUGCUCGAGUGGCGAACGGGUGAGUAACACGUGAGUAACCUGCCCUUGACUUUGGGAUAACUUCAGGAAACUGGGGCUAAUACCGGAUAGGAGCUCCUGCUGCAUGGUGGGGGUUGGAAAGUUUCGGCGGUUGGGGAUGGACUCGCGGCUUAUCAGCUUGUUGGUGGGGUAGUGGCUUACCAAGGCUUUGACGGGUAGCCGGCCUGAGAGGGUGACCGGCCACAUUGGGACUGAGAUACGGCCCAGACGCCUACGGGAGGCAGCAGUGGGGAAUAUGGCACAAUGGGCGGAAGCCUGAUGCAGCAACGCCGCGUGCGGGAUGACGGCCUUCGGGUUGUAAACCGCUGUCGCCGGUGACGAAGCGUGAGUGACGGUAAUGGGUAAAGAAGCACCGGCUAACUACGUG
RNAcentral lists this ribosomal RNA (468 nucleotides) under uncultured bacterium. RNAcentral's name for it is "partial 16S ribosomal RNA". It matches the Rfam family "Bacterial small subunit ribosomal RNA", at positions 28 to 507 of the family's 1533-position model. The record is from RNAcentral.